GGCUGGUCUGAAGGCAGUGAGUUAUUUCAAUUGAUUGUUCACAGUCAGUUACAGAUCGAACUCCUUGUUCUACUCUUUCCCCCCUUCUCACUACUGCACUUGACUAAUCUAAA
Molecule: Y RNA, 113 nt
Organism: Callithrix jacchus (white-tufted-ear marmoset)
Lineage: Eukaryota; Metazoa; Chordata; Mammalia; Primates; Cebidae
Rfam family: Y RNA
About the family: Y RNAs are components of the Ro ribonucleoprotein particle (Ro RNP), in association with Ro60 and La proteins. The Y RNAs and Ro60 and La proteins are well conserved, but the function of the Ro RNP is not known. In humans the RNA component can be one of four small RNAs -- hY1, hY3, hY4 and hY5.
Source: Ensembl